UCACUUUCUUUCCAUGUAUUUAUCACCUACUUUCUAUCAGAUAGAAAAAAAGACUUACAAAUUCCAUUGUACGGCGAGUGGCCUCAACAACCAAGUUUGUCAUGUUACCAAUAAUAUAAGCAGUUAGGCCUAGAUUGAAAAGCAUGUAGAAAAUUAUGAACACCAUUUCUAAGGUAUUCACUGCAUGUAGAUCACCAUAUCCAACUGUAGUCAUGGUAGUGAUGGACCAAUAUAGGGCUGAAAUGUAUCUUAUCCAAAGGCUCGUCUCUUUGAAAUUUGGAAUAGCAGAUCCAAUCCAUGUCUUUCCUCCAUGUGGAUAUUUGACGGCUAGAAAGUAGUAUAGGCAUCCAGCACAAUGCGCUAGGAUCAAUGUUACCUGGAAACAUAGGUACAAAAUGGUGGUCUAUUCAUACUAUAUACAUAUCCUCUCGAUUGCAUUUUUAAGGGCUUGUUGCCAGUAAGACUCAUAAUGGGAACCUGAUAAAUUCCCAAUCGUCCCCCGGCAUCCAAUAAACAACUUUGAUGGUCUUAUGCUGAAAUUGAGAUUGUUUUGAUAGCAAGUACUUACAAAUAAAAGCCUGGCACAUCUGACCCAAAAAUAGCUGAAUCUGAUAUCUUUUUCAAUCCUGCAAUGCCAUUUGAAUCUCAGAAUCUUAAUAUGUCAUUCCAACUUCUUUACCAAUUCACUAAGGCCUUAGCCAUGGAUACAUAACUUGAUGACAUGUUUUUGGAUAAAAACUGCACCAGCUCGUCUAAGAAUUUUGUAGUCUACUAGAAGAAUUGUGAUAUUAUUUAGUACGGGUGAAAUGUUAACCUUGUAAAGAAGCUCUUGACGCGGCGAAGACGCCAAAAUCUGAGCAUUCCUAGAACUGAGUAAGAGACACCAGCUUGAUGUCUCCCAGUAAUCAAGAAAGCUACUGUCUCGAAUGGGAUUGUUGAAGCCACAUCCAUUAGAAACCAGGUUGAGAGGUACCUAUUUUCCCAAAAAUUUACAAACGAAAUUUAUCCAAAGUCUAAAUUCUAUAUGCAUGUAAUGUACAGUGAAUUGAUACAUUUCAGAUGACUAGGAAUUCCAUUAACGGGCAGUUUUGAUCCUUUAGAACAACUUGAUGAGUUAAUUAGAUUGCUUUAGGAGGCCCUAAUUCAAAGAACGUUGAUUGAAUCAGGUAAAGAGAGCUGAAAAUUUUAAAAAUCAAUGUAAUAAAAUUUAGGGAAAAUUGCACUAACGGUCCCUAACCUUUCAUUUUUUAAGACUUUAUCCUAAUAUUCAAUUUGUAGUCUUUCAAAAAUAUGCAACAAAGGUCCAAAUGAACAAUUCCCAUCCAUUUGAGCGUUAGCUGACCAAGAAAAGUGAAUUUGGAUUAAUUUUGACUAAAUUAAAAUGGGUAAAAUGAUAUCAUGAUAGUUAUCUUAUUAAAUGGGUGUUUGAGCCCCAUUUUUAUUUAAAUAUGCAUUUUAAAAUAGUAAAUUAAUGAAAAAUGUGUUGUUAAAAAAUAAAGAAAUUUUUUUUAUUUAUGUGUAAUCUUAUUUUAAUAAAGGAUGUAAGGUUGAAAAGAAGAGAAAGAAAAAAUAUAUUUUGAAAAAAAUGGGUACCAAGCGAGCCUAAAUAAAUAAUCAAAAAUUAAAAAAUAGGGAAAAAAAUAAAAAGAAAAUUAAGAAAAGAAAUAAAAAGGGUUGUCUCCUUCAGCCACCCCUUGCUCUCUCUAUGUCUCUCUCUCUCCUUGAAAUUAGCCACCAGUACUACUGUCGUCAGUACCACCUCUAGGAAACCAAUCACACUACUGUCGGUAACAUUUCCUUUGCACACCCACCGCCAAAAAUCCAAUCAUACACCCAUCGUCCUUAUACUGAAUCAGUUUUUACUGGCUGUUGACAAAAUUGAACAAAUUUCUCCAAAACCUCGGGAUCUUUCACCAAUUGUUUAUUGCCCAAAGCUACAAUAAGCUAAGGUAAAAGCCUAGCAUCAGUUGAAGCUAAGAACUUGCCAUUUUAUUCCAUUUCCUUCCCGAAUAAAAUCAACCUCAAAACUAGAACGGUAUUUUCUAUGAUUUCUAGCCUCAAAAUUUUAUCAAUCAACAAAUGAAUUUAUAGAAAUGUUGAGGUAGGGUUUUUGGUUUUGGGUGUUGGUUUGAUGUUAUGGAGGAUUUUACUGUGCAGCUCUUGCUCAAUGGUGGGGUGGGGUUUUUGGUGUAGGUUUGAUGGUUGUGGUGGCGGUUGGUUUUGGGUGGCUUUGACCGAUCGGGAGGAUGUGGUGUCGACUUUGUUGGUUGUUGUGGAAAAGGGGAUAGGGAUGGGAAUGGGGUGUUUGGAGGAGACCAUUUUUUUCUUUCCAUUUUUUGGUUUUUUUAUUUUUUCCUUAUUUUUUGGUUCAUUUAUUUAGCCUCGUUUGAGCCACAUUAUUGUAAAAAUGAGAAUGAAAAAUAUAACUGUUAUUGGCCCCACACAAGAGAUAAAAAGCCAAAUAUAAUGACUUGAUGUGAUGGAUAAUGAUCAUAUUUUUCAUUCUAAUGAAGAAAUAAUAAAACUCAAACAGGGCCUAAAUAUGAUAAUUAUUAAGUUACUAUUCUAGCAUGUUUAAUUUGGUUAAGAUUAAUCAAAAUUCACUUUUGUUGGUCAACUAACGAUCAAAUGGAUGAAAAUCGCCCAUUUAGACCUUUGCUACAUAUUUUUGAAAGAUGUCACUUUGCUAACACAAAUUGAAUGUUAAAAUAAAAUCUACAAAAAGUGAAAAAUUCGGGAUCACUGUUACAAUUUUCCCUGAAAUUUAUUUAAAAGUGAUCUGACAAGACAAUUACAAUUCAAUAAUUAUAUUUAAAGAUAAACUAUUACUAGUAUUAAUUAGUAGAUAAAUAAAAAAAAAUGUGAUGUAGUGACAAAUAAAGUACUUACUAAAUGUGUAAAAGAGAAAAAAAAAAAAAAAAAUUAAGGAGCAUAGGUUUAUGUAUUAGCGCAAAGGGGGGAAAAUGAAGGUUUUAAAAUGUAGUGUGGAAUAAAUGCAAUUGAUUAAACAAAUAAUAACAUUAUUAACAUAAAAUCAACCCAUAAAUAAUAUCAUAAGAUUUAAUUUAAAAGGGUUAAAAUAUUACAAAUUCUCGAUUUUUCAUUUCAUUAUUAUUAUGUGAAAUUACAUUAAAUAUAUUCAAAAAAUAAAUAAAUUAGAAACACAAUAAUUGUUUAAAUAAAUCACACCAUUCAAAGAAAAACAGGAAUUCUACAUUUUUAUUUAUAGCAAUACGAUCAAUGUUUAAAUAAUAUCAUUGUAUAUGUUCGUGUGUAUGUCAAUAUCACUCACCCUUGAUAAAUAUGUAAUGGUUUUCAAAAUAUUAUUCACGAUGCUUUAUCACUUUUUUUGGUAUUAUAUUUUUAUUAAUCUAUUUUAAAAUCAUACAAAUACAAUGAUUUUAUUUUAAUUUUUCAAGCCAACCGUUUAUAAUUUAAACACAAUAAUUAAUCAUUCACCACUCUACAAUCAAAUAUUUGAAAAAGACAAAAACCAGUAACAAAAAAGAUCGCCUCUGGAUUGAAUCUACCAAUUUUUAUUAACUUGUUCAUGGCCUCAUGUAACAACCGUCAUUUUUUUGACGAGGUUUGUACCUAUUAUGGGGGUGUUUGAGAGUCAUUUUUAUGUAAAAAUACAUUUUAAAAUAGUAAAUUGACGGAAAGUGUGUAGUUGAAAAAUAAGAAAAAAUUUUGAUCUACGUAUAAUAUUAUUUUAAUAAAGAAUGUGUGGUUGAAAAGAAUAGAGAGAAAAAUGCAUUUUAAAAAAAAUGGAUACUAUACGAGAACUAUAUGAGCAUUGCACAUUCAAGUUUAUGAAGUUAUAUUUAUUUUGUAACAAAGGCCAAUACUCGAAAAUUUGAAGUAAGGAAUGUUUCUACGAGGACCACAUGACUAUUUGGAUGAUUUUGUCGUUAUGGACGUUAUACAACUAAAAUACAUGGUGGAGGACCAACUCUGUACUCAAAUGAUAGGUUGACAAAUCUUUUGAGAUUAUAAGCUAAUAUGAACUGCAAGGAAAUGUGUGGUCAGAAAUAAAUUUUCAUUAAAUCUGAAAAAAAAAAUAAAAAAAUACCAAACUUAGUCAAUUCACUACGUCACGUCUUUGAGCUCCUGUUUGGUUUUGUUAAAAAAUAGGAUAUAUUCAGCUUUCAUAUCUGCAACCUGAUCAUUUUAGACCGAUAUUACGAGCAAUCAAAAUCUUGCAUGCUAAUUUAGGCAUGAGUUUUUUCUUUCUACUAAAUAUGUAUUGCUUACCAGGAGCAAUAGAAUUUCCCUAGAGACACCCUUGAAUAGAUAAACUUUCUCGACCGUAGGCAUAAACAAAUGCUGCCGGAUACUUUUACAUAGUGUUUUGGGUAGCUGUUCAAUGAGUUGCUGCUGGUUCAAGCUCUCAGCCUUAAAUCUUAGACACAUAUAAGCCAAUAUCUGAUCUUUCAGCCUAGGAGGCAACUGGUUACGGGACACAAAACUCGAUGCAACUUCAAUGCUACUUCUCUACAAGAAAAUAAAACAAUAAACUCACUUUCUUUCCAUGUAUUUAUCACCUACUUUCUAUCAGAUAGAAAAAAAGACUUACAAAUUCCAUUGUACGGCGAGUGGCCUCAACAACCAAGUUUGUCAUGUUACCAAUAAUAUAAGCAGUUAGGCCUAGAUUGAAAAGCAUGUAGAAAAUUAUGAACACCAUUUCUAAGGUAUUCACUGCAUGUAGAUCACCAUAUCCAACUGUAGUCAUGGUAGUGAUGGACCAAUAUAGGGCUGAAAUGUAUCUUAUCCAAAGGCUCGUCUCUUUGAAAUUUGGAAUAGCAGAUCCAAUCCAUGUCUUUCCUCCAUGUGGAUAUU
RNAcentral lists this long non-coding RNA (4839 nucleotides) under Olea europaea (common olive). RNAcentral describes it as "long non-coding RNA (OEUR_LNC013837)". Lineage: Eukaryota; Viridiplantae; Streptophyta; Magnoliopsida; Lamiales; Oleaceae. The record is from RNAcentral.